GCCAAUUUCUGAGUCCUGAGCCCUGGCUAUUAAGCUCGCAACAGCUCAUGAGCAGUUCGAUUCUUUGGCACUUUUAUAGAAUCUUAAACUUCUUCUUAAUUCUUAUGCUCCAUCUGGUCAUUUCAGAUAGAUAGCAUAACUGCCCAAAUUUGAUGCUUUUUUCAUUUCUCUGAGGAUGCUGCCAUAAGCAUUAAAGAGCCCUUCUCUCCAGAAAGAGCCUUAACUGCAAUGCAUGCGUUCCCGGCUGAGAAACGGGCUUCAAAGAAUGUCAUAGAAUUAGAACUGGAGUCGGUUAUUUUGAGACUCAGAAGGAA
This 314-nucleotide long non-coding RNA is filed under the name Ricinus communis (castor bean). Its description in RNAcentral is "long non-coding RNA (RCOM_LNC003837)". The record is from RNAcentral. Lineage: Eukaryota; Viridiplantae; Streptophyta; Magnoliopsida; Malpighiales; Euphorbiaceae.